GCGAGGAUGGCGGAAUUGGUAGACGCGCACGUUUGAGGUGCGUGUGAUUUCAUCAUGUGGGUUCAAGUCCCAUUCCUCGCACCA
RNAcentral lists this transfer RNA (84 nucleotides) under Clostridia bacterium. RNAcentral describes it as "tRNA-Leu". It matches the Rfam family "tRNA". From Rfam's summary of the family: Transfer RNA (tRNA) molecules are approximately 80 nucleotides in length. Their secondary structure includes four short double-helical elements and three loops (D, anti-codon, and T loops). Further hydrogen bonds mediate the characteristic L-shaped molecular structure. tRNAs have two regions of fundamental functional importance: the anti-codon, which is responsible for specific mRNA codon recognition, and the 3' end, to which the tRNAs corresponding amino acid is attached (by aminoacyl-tRNA synthetases). tRNAs cope with the degeneracy of the genetic code in two manners: having more than one tRNA (with a specific anti-codon) for a particular amino acid; and 'wobble' base-pairing, i.e. permitting non-standard base-pairing at the 3rd anti-codon position. The record is from RNAcentral. RNAcentral also lists the same sequence under 2 other names. Lineage: Bacteria; Bacillati; Bacillota; Clostridia.